GACGAACGCUGGCGGCGUGCUUAACACAUGCAAGUCGAACGGAAAGGCCCUGCUUUUGUGGGGUGCUCGAGUGGCGAACGGGUGAGUAACACGUGAGUAACCUGCCCUUGACUUUGGGAUAACUUCAGGAAACUGGGGCUAAUACCGGAUAGGAGCUCCUGCUGCAUGGUGGGGGUUGGAAAGUUUCGGCGGUUGGGGAUGGACUCGCGGCUUAUCAGCUUGUUGGUGGGGUAGUGGCUUACCAAGGCUUUGACGGGUAGCCGGCCUGAGAGGGUGACCGGCCACAUUGGGACCGAGAUACGGCCCAGACUCCUACGGGAGGCAGCAGUGGGGAAUAUUGCACAAUGGGCGGAAGCCUGAUGCAGCAACGCCGCGUGCGGGAUGACGGCCUUCGGGUUGUAAACCGCUUUCGCCUGUGACGAAGCGUGAGUGACGGUAAUGGGCAAAGAAGCACCGGCUAACUACGUG
This 468-nucleotide ribosomal RNA is filed under the name uncultured bacterium. Its description in RNAcentral is "partial 16S ribosomal RNA". It matches the Rfam family "Bacterial small subunit ribosomal RNA", at positions 28 to 507 of the family's 1533-position model. The record is from RNAcentral.